Molecule: ribosomal RNA, 253 nt
Filed under: uncultured bacterium
Lineage: Bacteria
Description: partial 16S ribosomal RNA
Rfam family: Bacterial small subunit ribosomal RNA
Source: RNAcentral
UACGUAGGGGCCGAGCGUUGUCCGGAGUUACUGGGCGUAAAGCGCGCGCAGGCGGCUCGUCAAGCCUGACGUGAAAGCCCCCGGCUCAACCGGGGAGGGUCGUCGGGGACUGGCGAGCUUGAGGUCGGCAGGGGCUGGUGGAAUUCCCGGUGUAGUGGUGAAAUGCGUAGAGAUCGGGAGGAACACCCGUGGCGAAGGCGGCCAGCUGGGCCAUUACUGACACUCAGCUGCGAAAGCUAGGGGAGCAAACAGG